RNAcentral lists this ribosomal RNA (639 nucleotides) under uncultured Actinomycetes bacterium. Its description in RNAcentral is "bacterial SSU rRNA". It matches the Rfam family "Bacterial small subunit ribosomal RNA", at positions 232 to 885 of the family's 1533-position model. Lineage: Bacteria; Bacillati; Actinomycetota; Actinomycetes. The record is from RNAcentral.
CGCGGCCUAUCAGCUUGUUGGUGAGGUAACGGCUCACCAAGGCAUCGACGGGUAGCUGGUCUGAGAGGAUGAUCAGCCACACUGGGACUGAGACACGGCCCAGACUCCUACGGGAGGCAGCAGUAGGGAAUCUUGCGCAAUGGGCGAAAGCCUGACGCAGCAACGCCGCGUGGGGGAUGAAUGCCUUCGGGUUGUAAACCCCUUUCAGCAGGGACGAAAUUGACGGUACCUGCAGAAGAAGGUCCGGCCAACUACGUGCCAGCAGCCGCGGUAAUACGUAGGGACCGAGCGUUGUCCGGAAUUAUUGGGCGUAAAGAGCUCGUAGGCGGUUCAGUAAGUCGGGUGUGAAAACUCAAGGCUCAACCUUGAGACGCCACUCGAUACUGCUGUGACUUGAGUCCGGUAGAGGAGUGUGGAAUUCCUGGUGUAGCGGUGAAAUGCGCAGAUAUCAGGAGGAACACCAGCGGCGAAGGCGGCACUCUGGGCCGGUACUGACGCUGAGGAGCGAAAGCAUGGGGAGCAAACAGGAUUAGAUACCCUGGUAGUCCAUGCCGUAAACGUUGGGCACUAGGUAUGGGACCAUAUCAACGGGUUCCGUGCCGUAGCUAACGCAUUAAGUGCCCCGCCUGGGGAGUACGG